CGCGGCCUAUCAGCUUGUUGGUGAGGUAACGGCUCACCAAGGCAACGACGGGUAGCUGGUCUGAGAGGAUGGCCAGUCACACGGGGACUGAGAUACGGCCCCGACUCCUACGGGAGGCAGCAGUGGGGAAUAUUGGGCAAUGGGGGAAACCCUGACCCAGCGACGUCGCGUGGGUGAUGAAGGCCUUCGGGUCGUAAAGCCCUGUCAGGCGGGAAGAACCCUCUAGAGUCGAAUAAGCUCUAGAGCCGACGGUACCGCCAAAGGAAGCACCGGCCAACUCCGUGCCAGCAGCCGCGGUAAGACGGAGGGUGCGAGCGUUAUUCGGAAUUACUGGGCGUAAAGGGUGUGUAGGCGGCUCCAUAAGUCUGGUGUGAAAGCCCAGGGCUCAGCCUUGGAAGGGCACUAGAGACUGUGGAGCUAGAGUACCGGAGAGGAGGGUGGAAUUUCCGGUGUAGCGGCGAUAUGCGUAGAUAUCGGGAGGAACACCAGUGGCGAAGGCGCCCCUCGGGACGGUCACUGACGCUGAGGCACGAAAGCGUGGGGAGCAAACAGGAUUAGAUACCCUGGUAGUCCACGCCGUAAACGAUGGGCACUAGGUGUCGGGGGUAACCACUCCCUCGGUGCCGCCGCUAACGCAUUAAGUGCCCCGCCUGGGGAGUACGG
This 663-nucleotide ribosomal RNA is filed under the name uncultured bacterium. RNAcentral's name for it is "bacterial SSU rRNA". It matches the Rfam family "Bacterial small subunit ribosomal RNA", at positions 232 to 885 of the family's 1533-position model. The record is from RNAcentral.